This 167-nucleotide ribosomal RNA is filed under the name uncultured bacterium. RNAcentral's name for it is "partial 16S rRNA". It matches the Rfam family "Bacterial small subunit ribosomal RNA", at positions 352 to 511 of the family's 1533-position model. The record is from RNAcentral.
CAGUAGGGAAUCUUCCACAAUGGGCGAAAGCCUGAUGGAGCAACGCCGCGUGUGUGAUGAAGGCUUUCGGGUCGUAAAGCACUGUUGUAUGGGAAGAACAGCUAGAAUAGGAAAUGAUUUUAGUUUGACGGUACCAUACCAGAAAGGGACGGCUAAAUACGUGCUAG